AAUCAUUUAACAAUAUGGGAAUGUAAACUCUUGUGACGUAAAGUCAAAAAUAUAAGUCUCCCCACCUCCGUCGGACAAGACAACCGUAAUAAAGUCUAAUAACCGUGGGUACAUACAGAACUGACAGAACUAAUACAAACCAAACGUCCAAGAAUAUUCCUUUUUGCUCUAUUGAUUUGAUUCAGUUCAAAAUUUCGUUGGCCGAGUAUAAUUUCUAAAAAGGGAAUAAAAAAAUCUGUGGAAUGAAAAUAAACCUUCAGACUUCAGAUUAUUUAUAGAAAAAAUGGGGUGGCGGGAGGAGGAAUGUAGAAAAUAGGAAGCUAUUAAAAGUAAUAGAUGGUAAUAUAGCACUAGUAAAUUUAGAUUUUGGCAGAGUAUCCUUUAAACUGCAAAAUUAGUGCAAAUACCAGCUCCCAUCCUAAAAUGUCAGUGCUGUCAAGAAUAUCUGUUCCCAUACAUCAAAGUUUGUCCGACUAGACACCGUUAAGCUACUAACAAAUUUCCAGCUUGCUAUUAAUAGACUUUUUUUGGUACGUGGGAUCCAGGCCUAAAAUAACAAGUUUUAAAUUAUAAUUGUAUAUAACUACAUAUAUCAAAUAAACCAAACAACACAAUUAUAAAUUUUUCUACAAUAACUAUAUGAAAUUAAGACAUGUAAAUUUUAUGGUUUUUGUAUAUACUCCCGUUAUUCUUAGUUUUUAAAUCAAAAAGUAUGUAACAGGAAGUUUAUAUCAGCUAUUCGUCGUCCUAAUCUGUAAACUGUGUAACUCCAUAAUUACCUGAAAAUGAGUUAUUACUACUAUCUGUUUCAAAAAGUCCCUACUUAUCGUUUAAAAAAGGACUGACCUGCAUUAUUUUACUCGAUCAGUAAAUAGCGACCUCUUCGUAUACACCGCGUCUCCCUUGCUACAAAACGUAGUAUGAAAAAUACAUAACUCCCUACUUUGUCCUACCUACCACACAAAGAUAGACAAUGUAAAUUUUGGGGAGGUAAAGGUAAAGGAUAUCCAGGCCUAAAGGAUAUCCAGGAUGACACGCAGGAUUCUACGUUCCGCUCGCAACAACUUCAGGUUUUGUAGUCUAUUGCUAUUGAAUAUACAAUAGAGGCCUGAUUUGUACUCAAUGACGGGUCGAAUGUAGGCCUUGUAAGUGUGGAUGAGCGUUUUCGUGUCUGUCUUGCCAAUUUUCCCAGAGAGAGGGUGGAGUAAUCUGGCUCUAUUUCUUACCCUAUCUAAAGUUGCCUUUAGAUCUGCAUCCCAGUUGGGAGUCCUGGUAAACAGAACUCCCAAGUAGGUUGUAGUCUGGCUGAGCAAAAGCAUUUCUCCCAUCAGCCUCACUGGGAAUUGGUCGUCCUCAUGUCUAAUGAUUCUUGAUGACACAGUGGGGGCGCGAAAUACAAUGGUUGUUGUUUUGUUCGCGUUUAGUGUUACUCUCCACUUACAACACCAUUCCUCGACCGCGUUUAACAGAGCUUAGGCUCUUCUAUGGAUGAGUGGUGGGUUGUAUCGUGUAGUUGUUGUGAGCAGAGCCGUAUCGUCAGCAUAGAGAAACAACCGGGUGCCUGGGAUAUUUUGAUUUGAGAGGUCACUGUUGUAGAUUAUGUACAACAGUGGUGCUAUAACUGAUCCUUGGGGAACUCCAGCUUGUGGAGUAAAAGGGGUUGAUCUUUGAUCGCUUCCUUUCACUCUUACAGUUUGGUCAUGGAGAUAUGAAUGUACAAUUUUUGUGAAUUGUAAUGGUAGCCCGAUGUCAAUUAGCUUCCAACCGGCGUUGAUGGUUUGUGAGAUUUUAGUGGUAAAGUCAAUCAAUGCAUGUUUAGUAGAUUUACCGUUUUGGAAUCCGUAUUGAAAUUUUGGGAUGAUGUUGUGGGUUUCGAGAAAGUCGUUGAGCCUCUCUUUUAAGAUUAGCUCAAGAACUUUGCCCAAAGUGUUUAUGAGAGAGAUAGGUCUAUAGGAUUUCACGUCGGUACGGGGUUUACCUUUUUCAGGUAACAUGAUUGUGUUGGCUACUUUCCAAGGAGUAGGAAAGUAGCUUCUUUUGAUGCAUGCAUUGAAGAUUUUAGUGAGAAGAGAGAAAAUACUCUCAGGAAGUUUCUUAAGGCUUAUUCGACUGAUGCAGUCAGGUCUGGGAGCGCUAUUUUUGCCUUGGCGGCAAAAGCUCUCCGUUUCCCUGUUGGUGAGGGGAUCCAUGAUUGGGUCAUGGACCGGAAUGUGAAAAUUGAGAGUAUUUCUGACUAUGAAUUGUGUUGAGUUUAAAUAUGCGAUCAAAGUUCGGGUUGUCAGGGGUUUGAAAGUUAUUUUGAAGCGAAUUUUUGAAUGCUUCUGCUUUCUCUUCUGGGGAGUUAAUGAUUUGGUUGUUGACCAACAGAUGAGAAGGUUGAGAUAGUUUUUGUUUUGUUAGGACUUUGAAUUUGUUCCAGAAUUUACUUCCGUCUCUGUAAUCUAGUUUUGAGGUAGUAUCUUCCCACCGGCGGCGAGCCGUUACGUCAGAUAUUUCUCUCUACCACACAACUGACCUAUCACUAUUUAGAAAGUGAUAUUUUCAAGAAAAAGUUGGUGGUAAGUAAUAUUUAAAUACUUAUUAAACAAUAUACAAAUAAUGUUAGUGAUAUGUGUAUCUAUAAAAUAUUUCCGUUCCACCAUCCUAUCUUUUAAAAUGGUAGGAUACGUAGUAUUCAUAUUAGUCAUAUUUAGAGAGAUAGUUUUUGUGUCUCCUGUAAAAUUAGGAUAAAUGGAGUUAACCAGCUUAUAGAUUAGGUCGACAUAUUAAUAAUGGAGUAUUUACAUUGUUGUUACCUUAUGAUUACCAACACUUUAUGGUUUGGACUACUACUAGUAUUGUAACAAUAAAACUAUCAGUUCUUU
Molecule: long non-coding RNA, 2864 nt
Filed under: Diabrotica virgifera virgifera (western corn rootworm)
Lineage: Eukaryota; Metazoa; Arthropoda; Insecta; Coleoptera; Chrysomelidae
Description: uncharacterized LOC126878906
Source: RNAcentral